AAAACAAAACUGAGGAGGCCGUGAAUUUAACAAAUAUCAUACGUCACAUUUUUAUAGUCAAUAAAAAUGCAUCCAAUAAUUUUCCUUAUACUCGCAACCACCAUAGUUGUUACUACACAUACUUUAACACCAAACCGAACCCAUUAUUUGGAUACGAUGGAAUGUGGUGACUGCGAGAAGGUAAACCGGGAAUGCAAAAUCGUAUCUUCUGGGUAUUACUGCCGUGAGCACGACGACAGUGACAAGCUCGAUGCCCGGCAAGGAGUCAAGGCGAAUUUGCGACAUCUAAGGAAAUGCAUGGGCCCUGAUCAUUUCUUUUUUAAUAAAGAGGGGAUUUCGGCGGCCUGCUGUUUUUGGACACAAGAAAUGGGAUGCCAGCAAGUCAAAAACAAGAUGCGCACAAAGCCUUGCUCUGAUUGUGCUACCUACCAUGAAAGAGGCUCUUUCCUGGAUCUUAAUCCAAUGGGCUGUCCAUGUGGGCCACAGGAAAAAAAUGGUGCAGAAAAUCCGCUUGAAUGCUUCUUUUUCAUUAUUAUUCUUAUGAUGUGUACGAUAUUGUAUGAUCGAUUUUUAGGACCUGUUUAAAGCAGCUGUUAGCUGCUGAAUACUUCAGAUGUUGCUGGACUCUCCUUUGAUUUUCUUAACCUUGUCCUCCGGGUUUUCGGCAUCGGCUGUGUAAAUCUUAUAUUCUGGGACUUACUUGGCUUGUCAGCCCCAGCUUGACAACAUAUAUCACCCAACGAAAUUUUGCCUUAUAUAAUACACAUAAUAAAAAUGUCCGCGCUGCUCUUUUACCUAAUUUUCACGUUCACCUCCACAACGGCCAAUGGAGCGAAGACUACUCCGAAGUAUUUACAAAAAAUGAAAUGUGGCGAAUGUGAAUCUCAAGAUCACUGCAAGAUCGAGACUUCUGGUUAUUUUUGUCCGGACCAGUUCGACAGAAUUGAGAUUCAGUACAAUCCGGACGGCAAUUUAUCGAAGGGCUUGGAACACUUGACGAAAUGCGUGGCUCCACAUUAUUAUUUUUAUAACAAAAAAGAAAUCAGCCAAAUGUGCUGCUUCUGGACACCUAAGAUGGGUUGUCAACAACUACUAAAUAAAGGCUAUUCAAAAAAACCGCAUUGCUCUGUAUGUACCUCAUACGGGGAAGAUGGUUGUCCAUGUGGGCCGAGUUGCGGUGGAGGAAAACUUUGUAACAUCAACUCUUUCAUUAUCGUUCUUAUGUGUACGAUACUAAGCGAUUAUAUAUAUAUAUAAUUAAAUGAAUUCUAAAAGAAUUUUACUAUAUAGGCACUGCGUGCCUCGAUACAGUUUCAAUAAAAUGGAGGGAGAUCCAAGCAUACGCUUACACGCUCAUUUCCAUGAGUUUACGUUGUGUUCCAUUCUCAAAGCAUUCAUAUAAAAAUGUCAAGAAUUCUUAAGAUGGCGCUGGUCGACCCUUUGAUUUUCUCAUCUUCGUCUCUGGUUCGCCCUUCUCUCCCACUAUCGCUUCAACCUAACCUUACCCCAUAAUCGACGUAUGGCAAAAACCAGAACAAAGUGUCAGGUUCUUUUUUAGCCUCAGCCUGGCAACGAAGGUGGCCACGCUAUUGGCUUCAGUAAACACGCAGAAGCUCAUUUCGACGACAUAUCAGAUAUUUCAUUCAACGAAAGUUUCCAAUAUAUUACACACAGCAAAAAUGUCCGGGCUCUUCUUUUACCUAAUUUUCGCGUUCAUCGCAGCAGUGGCCAAUGGCCAGAAGGAACUUAUACCGGAGUAUUUAAGGGCAAUGGAAUGUGGACAAUGUGACGCUCAACAGGAUUGCAGAAUCGAAACGACUGGCUCUUUUUGUCCCUCACAGUAUGACAGGAUUGAGUUGCAUUACAGUCACGACGGCAAUUUAUCGGCGGGCUUGGAUUCCUUGGCGGAGUGCCUACCCAAACAUUAUUAUUUUUUCAACAAAAAGGCAAUUAGCCAAAUGUGUUGCUUCUGGACACCUCAGACGGGUUGUCAGCAACUAAGAAGCAAAUCCUAUAAUAGAAACCCUUGCUCUGUAUGUGCUAAAUGGAAUUGGAACACAGAAUCAGAUCCAAUGGGGUGUCCGUGCCAUGAAAUAGAAGAGCACCUUAGAAAAAAGAGAAAAGGGAGAAAAGGAGGCGCAACAAAACUCCAACAUUUUGGCUUAUUUCCUGUGAUCUUCAUCUAUUUUGUGCAGCAAAUAUUUUCCCCAUUGGCCCUAUGUGGGAGGGAAAUGUAAAAGGUUUUAUAUCAAACAAAAACUUGUUCCUGUUCCCUGGCUUUAUGGAAACAAAUUUUCAAACCAGGACUACUCGGACUAAUCGGAUAUUUUGUACACAUCUGACACUCGAAUGACUAUUCGUUACAUGAGCUUAUGUUCUUACCAGUGAAAUAAUCCAAACUUCGUCAUUCCGAUUGAUAUUUCCUAUUCCGUGGCUGUAUGCGUAAAUAUCACUACACUCUAAAAAGCUAACCGGAAGGUGGAACAUCUGACAGUAUUAUUCAUCUGACACAAUGACAUUGAAAUAACCCAAACUUCCUCAAAUGGUGACGUGUACACAAAAAAAUAUUUCAAAAAUUUCAAAUCGAGAAUGAUAUGGCACGGAAAAUAUGACAGGAUCAACGCAAUGGAUUGCUUAUGCAUUUGCAGAUACUUCUUUCAAGCGAAGCGGAAAGAGAAUAUGCACAUUAUAAUGGGUUCUUAGACAGGAUGAUCUGAGUCCAGCUUUGACGAACGCCUCGACUAGUUUUUCAUCCAUCGAGAAUCGUGGCCUUAUUUGUUCUCUACUUUUGGCAAUAAACAUUAAAACACUA
This is an RNA transcript of Drosophila pseudoobscura, 2812 nucleotides long. RefSeq lists it as uncharacterized. The record is from RefSeq and is a predicted model, not a curated record. NCBI's taxonomy places the organism in Eukaryota, Metazoa, Arthropoda, Insecta, Diptera, Drosophilidae. The transcript is spliced from 6 exons.